Molecule: ribosomal RNA, 253 nt
Filed under: uncultured bacterium
Lineage: Bacteria
Description: partial 16S ribosomal RNA
Rfam family: Bacterial small subunit ribosomal RNA
Source: RNAcentral
UACGAAGGGGGCUAGCGUUGCUCGGAAUCACUGGGCGUAAAGGGUGCGUAGGCGGGUCUUUAGGUCAGGGGUGAAAUCCUGGAGCUCAACUCCAGAACUGCCUUUGAUACUGAGGAUCUUGAGUUCGGGAGAGGUGAGUGGAACUGCGAGUGUAGAGGUGAAAUUCGUAGAUAUUCGCAAGAACACCAGUGGCGAAGGCGGCUCACUGGCCCGAUACUGACGCUGAGGCACGAAAGCGUGGGGAGCAAGCAGG